RNAcentral lists this long non-coding RNA (2605 nucleotides) under Lathyrus oleraceus (garden pea). Its description in RNAcentral is "Pisum sativum (pea) long non-coding RNA (PSAT_LNC031992)". The record is from RNAcentral. Lineage: Eukaryota; Viridiplantae; Streptophyta; Magnoliopsida; Fabales; Fabaceae.
UGUAAAGCAAAUGCACGAGCCUGCUAGCUUCAGAAGCCCAAUGCGUUGCUAAGAGGGGGAAAGGAAUCAGAGUGACUAAUUCACUCUUCAAGCCAAAAUUUCAAACAAGCUCCUCCCAAGUCCCUCACCGGAGCAUCAACCUUACCGCGCCAGAAUUCACUUCCGGCGGCGGCGGAGGUCCAAGUGACCUCAAACUUAUCCCAACUCGCUCUCUUCCAUACACUCAGUCACACACACACUCUCUCUCUUUCUCUCACACACACACUCUCUCUCUCUCACACACACACUCUCUCUCUCACACACGCACGCGCACACGCAUACACGCACGCGCGCGCACGCGCACUCACACACGCAUGCAUGCGGACACGCACACGCGCACGCACACGCGCAUACGCACACGCACGCGCGCGCACACACACCCACACACACACGCGCUCACGCACACACACACAAACACACACACACAAUCUCAAGCUAAUUUCUAUAAACUCCUAACUAUUUCAUAAAAUCGAGCCAAACAAAAUAAGAACCCUAGGUUAAAUAAACUUAAAUUAAAUGGCGUUGAGGAGGAAUCAAAUCCCGAUAUGUUAGAACUUUGAUUUCUUAGGCUUAAGUUUACAUGAUGAUAACUUACUUCAGGCAAAAAAGAACAAGGAAUUGAAAAUCACCAACCUACAAGGUCGAGGUUCACCCUGGUGAUUGCUGAAGGUUGAAGAAGAUGCUUACAAAGAGAAAACUAGAGGUAUUAACAGGUAUGUGCUUCAAACUCUCCAACUAUUUAUGUUGCAGAAAUUUCUUCUCUUCUUCUUCUUCUGAGAUCUUUAGUCUGUAGGAUUAAAUUGGUGUUGCUAUGUGUUAUUAUGGUAGUGUGUAGGAUUGAAGAGUGGUUGAGAGUGAUGAGAUUGAUUGAGAAUUUCCAGAUGGAGAAUUCAGAGAGAGUGAUUGACUGAGAAGUUGUAGAAUGAAUUUUUGUUGAUGAUUGAGAGUGGAGUAAAGAUUAUAUAGAGUGCGAUCAUAACAAAAUUGGGUAGUGGAAUUAGGGCAGGUAGUUAAGAGUUUGGGCACGGUUACUGUUAAUUAAUCUCAUGAGGAAAUUAGAUGGAUCAGUUAACUCUGUUAACUUGCUAUUAGAGUGAACUCGCAGUUACUGAACGAAGAUGUUAGAAUGAGUUAGUUUAUUUGACAGUUAGGUUAGUUAGAAUCUGAAUUGAAAAUGAAAACAGUUAGUGAAUUAGUUGAUUGGUUAAUUGGAAUUGAACUUAACGUUAGAAUGAUUUAGGAUGAUUAAGUGUUAGUGAAAUGAAAAGAGGUUGAACUGUUAGUGUUGAGUUUGGAUUUGAAUUUUAGUUAGUAAAAUGGAAUGUUAGUGAAUUGAAUUGAAAUUUGGAUUGUUCAAGUGUUAAUGGUGAUGAGGUUAAUUUUUGCUUUAGGCUUAUCCAUAACAUGGCCCUGUUAGUAUUAUUAAACUUUAAAAAACAGUUACAAACUAUAUGCUAAAUUAGCUUGAAUUGAUUGUUAACAUGACUGCUAUUUAUUGAAUUCAAAAACUGGUUAUGAAAUGAGCAUUUAUGGACUAUUAUAGAAUUAGCAUGUUAGGACUAUUAGCUUUUGCUAGCAGACUUGUUAUGGACUCGCUACUAAGUGAAUCUGUAAAUGAAUUGAAGUUAAAAUAAUUGACUGGUAUGACACAUUUAUUGUAUUAAUACUGGUAUGUGUUGAUUGUUGAUCAGAAAUUUGAAAUGUAUUGAAUUAAUCAUGAAACUAAUGAGUUAGUUUAGAGAGGUUGUUAGUUAAUGCUGCUACUGUUAUGAAUGACAAUGUGUGGGUGACACUUUAUGUUUGAAGAUUGUUAGAUGGUUAUAGAAUUAGUUCAUGAGUACUAUCUGUUUUGGAACCUAAUGCAAAUUGGCUAGGUGGCUUGAGGUUUAGAAGAACUGGUUAUAAUUUCCAUGCAUGAACUAGCUAAGUUGUAUUGAUGUUUGAACUGGUAUGGACCAUCAAUAGAUCAUUGAGUUAACUGCUAUGUAGUUUUGUAUUGAAGUGUACAUGGUAUGUUAUAUUGAUGCCCAUGUGUGUUUUUCGAUUGACAUGUUCAUAUGUGUGUAGGUGUUUGUGUAUGCAAAUUAUUCAUGGACAUUGGUUUAUUAUAUGUGUGAAUGUAACAUGUUGUAUAAAUGCAGGACUAAUGGAUAUGUGAGGUGGUUUGGCAUGGAAUGAAAUAUCACCAUAAUUCAUAAAGACUUGAUCAAAGCAUGUAGGAUAUUAAUAUGAUCAUGGCACAUGAAGGCAACAUCAUGGGGGCUCUUUACAAAAAAGAUGGCUUAUGAAUGAAGAAAAGUGGGGACUAAGUCCUAGGGUUAGAUAGUUGACUUCAGUCAACUUGUUUGACUAAAAAGCCAACAGUUGACCAAAGAUCAACCCUAGGUCAAAAACAUGUAAAAGAAUGUGUAGUUGUAAUUUUGGAUUUUUGUAAUAUGGAUUGGAUGCUUUGUAAUGAAAUUGGCCUUUGAAAUGAAUGAUGUCUUGUGCUUCAAAAACUAAUCUCCCUCCAAAAGUUGAAUUUGAAAAAUUGAAUUUGAAUUGCACUUGAAAACUUGACUAUGAA